AUGCUCAUUACUGUUGCAACUACUGGAAUUGGGCACGCUAGAGUACUCAAUCUACAGACUAUACAACAAGCCAUGUCCAGAGCUUGGAGGAGCAAUUACCAUGGCAUAUCUCAGGUAUCUAGGCAGAUGUUUAUGGCACAUUUUAGGACUUUGGAUGCUAUGAUGUUUGUUAUUACUAGGCAGCCUUGGAGAAUGGGAUCUGAUAAUCUAUUGAUUAAGUGGCUUGAUCCAACUGACGAAGCAAAGGAAAAACAAGAUUAUCGCUUCAAUACAAUAUAUGUGACAGUACGUGUCUAUGGUGUGCCAGAAAGAUUCAGAUUGGUUCAACUACUUAGGAGCAUCUUGGAGUAG
Molecule: ribosomal RNA, 351 nt
Filed under: Triticum aestivum (bread wheat)
Lineage: Eukaryota; Viridiplantae; Streptophyta; Magnoliopsida; Poales; Poaceae
Description: partial small subunit ribosomal RNA
Source: RNAcentral